RNAcentral lists this ribosomal RNA (398 nucleotides) under uncultured bacterium. Its description in RNAcentral is "bacterial SSU rRNA". It matches the Rfam family "Bacterial small subunit ribosomal RNA", at positions 358 to 773 of the family's 1533-position model. The record is from RNAcentral.
GGAAUCUUAGACAAUGGGCGCAAGCCUGAACUAGCCAUGCCGCGUGAGUGAUGAAGGCCUUAGGGUCGUUAAGCUCUUUCGCCAGAGAUGAAAAUGACAGUAUCUGGUAAAGAAACCCCCGCUAACUCCGUUCCAGCAGCCGCGGUAAUACGGAGGGGGUUAGCGUUGUUCGGAAUUACUGGGCGUAAAGCGCACGUAGGCGGAUCAGAAAGGUGGGGGUGAAAUCCCGGGGCUCAACCCCGGAACGGCCUCCAAAACUCCUGGUCUUGAGUGCGAGAGAGGUGAGUGGAAUUCCGAGUGUAGAGGUGAAAUUCGUAGAUAUUCGGAGGAACACCAGUGGCGAAGGCGGCUCACUGGCUCGAUACUGACGCUGAGGUGCGAAAGUGUGGGGAGCAAAC